Molecule: ribosomal RNA, 433 nt
Filed under: uncultured bacterium
Lineage: Bacteria
Description: partial 16S ribosomal RNA
Rfam family: Bacterial small subunit ribosomal RNA
Source: RNAcentral
AGCGAACGCUGGCGGCAGGCCUAACACAUGCAAGUCGAACGAACUCUUCGGAGUUAGUGGCGGACGGGUGAGUAACACGUGGGAACGUGCCUUUUGGUUCGGAAUAACUCAGGGAAACUUGUGCUAAUACCGAAUGUGCCCUUCGGGGGAAAGAUUUAUUGCCAUUAGAGCGGCCCGCGUCUGAUUAGCUAGUUGGUGAGGUAACGGCUCACCAAGGCGACGAUCAGUAGCUGGUCUGAGAGGAUGACCAGCCACACUGGGACUGAGACACGGCCCAGACUCCUACGGGAGGCAGCAGUGGGGAAUCUUGCGCAAUGGGCGAAAGCCUGACGCAGCCAUGCCGCGUGAAUGAUGAAGGUCUUAGGGUUGUAAAAUUCUUUCACCGGGGACGAUAAUGACGGUACCCGGAGAAGAAGCCCCGGCUAACUUCGUG